Molecule: ribosomal RNA, 539 nt
Filed under: uncultured bacterium
Lineage: Bacteria
Description: partial 16S ribosomal RNA
Rfam family: Bacterial small subunit ribosomal RNA
Source: RNAcentral
UGGGGAAUUUUGGACAAUGGGGGAAACCCUGAUCCAGCCAUCCCGCGUGUGCGAUGAAGGCCUUCGGGUUGUAAAGCACUUUUGGCAGGAAAGAAACGUCGCGGGUUAAUACCCCGCGAAACUGACGGUACCUGCAGAAUAAGCACCGGCUAACUACGUGCCAGCAGCUGCGGUAAUACGUAGGGUGCAAGCGUUAAUCGGAAUUACUGGGCGUAAAGCGUGCGCAGGCGGUUCGGAAAGAAAGAUGUGAAAUCCCAGAGCUUAACUUUGGAACUGCAUUUUUAACUACCGGGCUAGAGUGUGUCAGAGGGAGGUGGAAUUCCGCGUGUAGCAGUGAAAUGCGUAGAUAUGCGGAGGAACACCGAUGGCGAAGGCAGCCUCCUGGGAUAACACUGACGCUCAUGCACGAAAGCGUGGGGAGCAAACAGGAUUAGAUACCCUGGUAGUCCACGCCCUAAACGAUGUCAACUAGCUGUUGGGGCCUUCGGGCCUUGGUAGCGCAGCUAACGCGUGAAGUUGACCGCCUGGGGAGUACGGUC